Molecule: ribosomal RNA, 253 nt
Filed under: uncultured bacterium
Lineage: Bacteria
Description: partial 16S ribosomal RNA
Rfam family: Bacterial small subunit ribosomal RNA
Source: RNAcentral
UACGGAGGGUGCGAGCGUUGUCCGGAAUCAUUGGGCGUAAAGGGCGCGUAGGUGGCCCGGUCAGCGUGCGGUGAAAGCUCGGGGCUCAACCCCGAGUCGGCCGUGCGAACUGCCGGGCUUGAGCACUGUAGAGGCAGGCGGAAUUCCGGGUGUAGCAGUGGAAUGCGUAGAGAUCCGGAAGAACACCGCUGGCGAAGGCGGCCUGCUGGGCAGUGGCUGACACUGAGGCGCGACAGCGUGGGGAGCAGACAGG